AGUAAAUAAAGAACCUCUGCCCAAGAUUGGCCCAAGAACUGAUAUCAUAUUCUCCACGGCAGAGCAUUAUGCAGAAAGGAAGGACCGAGUCUUGAUGCAUCAUCCUGUGGUGGAUGAAUCAAGAUAUGGCAAAAAAUAUGUCACACUGUCCCCUCCAAAAAGACCCACCAAAGGAGCUUUUGAGGAUUCAAGUAAUGGCUCCGACAAUGUACAAACAAAUAAAGUUCCAAUCCCAGCCACAGGAACGGUGCUAAAAUCAGUUGAAACUAAUUCACGCGCCUCACAUGGAUCAUCCGAUACCUUUGUUGAUUCUCCUGUUGAAUCCUCCCUUCCCUUAGAGUGGGUGCCUCCACAGGUAAGUGCACCAGUUCUAGACCUGGUUGAUGUCAUUUUUCAGCUCCAAGAUGGU
Molecule: unclassified non-coding RNA, 409 nt
Filed under: Hevea brasiliensis (rubber tree)
Lineage: Eukaryota; Viridiplantae; Streptophyta; Magnoliopsida; Malpighiales; Euphorbiaceae
Source: RNAcentral